Molecule: long non-coding RNA, 197 nt
Organism: Suricata suricatta (meerkat)
Lineage: Eukaryota; Metazoa; Chordata; Mammalia; Carnivora; Herpestidae
Exons: 3
Source: RefSeq, a predicted model, not a curated record
CUUGGGCGUGUUAUUAUGCAAAUCAUAAAGGAUAUGGUUUUGUCCAGAACUAGAGGUGCGCAGUUGUGGAGAAGCCUCAGCGAAAGGUUUACCUCUAAUAUUGUUAAAGCUUGUUUCCAUCACAAAAACAAGGCUGUGUUUUAAAAAAAUUGCUUUUUCCAUUUAUUUAUUUUUGAGAGACACAGCGAGACAGAGUA